ACAACGGAGAGUUUGAUCCUGGCUCAGGACAAACGCUGGCGGUGUGCCUCAUACAUGCAAGUCGAACGAGAAGCGAGAGCUUGCUCUCGUGGAAAGUGGCGGACGGGUGAGUAUAACAUAGGAAAUCUGCCUUUGGGUGGGGGACAACAGAGGGAAACUUCUGCUAAUACCCCAUAUGAGCUUAGCUGAAAUGCUAAUCUUGAAAGUUCCGGCGCCCAAAGAUGAGCCUGUGCCUGAUUAGCUAGUUGGUGGUGUAAUGGACUACCAAGGCGACGAUCAGUAGCUGGU
Molecule: ribosomal RNA, 288 nt
Filed under: Candidatus Galligastranaerophilus faecipullorum
Lineage: Bacteria; Bacillati; Candidatus Melainabacteria; Candidatus Gastranaerophilales; Candidatus Gastranaerophilaceae
Description: partial 16S ribosomal RNA
Rfam family: Bacterial small subunit ribosomal RNA
Source: RNAcentral